Molecule: non-coding RNA, 1043 nt
Filed under: Trichomonas vaginalis G3
Lineage: Eukaryota; Parabasalia; Trichomonadida; Trichomonadidae
Description: Eukaryotic large subunit ribosomal RNA
Rfam family: Eukaryotic large subunit ribosomal RNA
Source: Rfam by way of RNAcentral
GCUGCGCGAUCAGAGUAAAAGCUCGUAUGACCAACUGCAAGCUUACGAUGACCGGGGAGAGUCGGAUACUUUGAGAGUAGUGUCUUAAGGGGGUGGUAUGUCCCAUCCAAGGCUAAAUAACGUGAGGAGACCGAUAGAUUACAAGUAGUGUGAACGAAAGAUGAAAAGAACUCUAAAACAGAGGGUGAAAAGUUCCUGAACUUGCUUAGGGUUAAGGCUAUUUAUAGUACCCGUCUUGAAACACGGAUUAGGGAGUUUAUCUGUAGUGCGAGUCUUUGCACGUUAACUGUAAAGGCGUAGAGAAAGCAACUGGCGUUUGCAUGGCUACUGAGCAUUACUGAUAGGACCCGAAAGGUGGUGAACUUUGCCUGCACAGGUUGAAGUCAGGGGAAACUCUGAUGGAGGACCGUACGGGUUAUUGAUGUGCAAAUCAUUUUUCUGAUGUAGGUAAAGGUGCGAAAGACUCAUCGAACCACCUAAUAGCUGGUUUCCUCCGAAGUUUCCCUCAGGAUAGCUGUAAUGCAUUUAGUUAAGGGGAGUAGAGAUAUGGGUAGAGGUGCAGGGAGCCUUCGGGUUCUCAACUUAUUUCCAAACUUCGAACCUCCUUGUUAGGCAUUUACCUAACUGGAAAUGCUUAAAUGAAUUAGCGUUACAAGUGGGCUCUGACCGGUAAGCGGUCAUGGCGAAAUGGGAUGAACCAUACGUCUGAAUAAGGUGCCGAAAUGUACUAUCACUGAUACCAUAAAGGGAGUCCAUGUAUUUAGACAGCAGGUCGGUGCCCCUAAAAGCAGGUAUCCGCUAAAGAGUGUGUUAAAACUCACCUGCCGAAUACUAGGGCCCCGAAAAUGAAUGGCGCAUAUAGUACUACCGAUCUCAGACAUCAGUUCUAUUGAACUGAGAGUAGGGGGAUGUGGACAUUUUUGUGAAGGUGCAAUGUGAGUUGGACUGGAAGAAUGUCUAUUACAGAUCCUAAUUGAAGUAGCGAUUAUCCAGGCUUGUAUCCUGGGGGCUGAUGAGGAGUAGGGUUUCUGGACAACUAAACA